AAUGUAUUAACAGCCAACUGAUGGAAGGAGAAAAGAAAGGGAGCAAAGGCAGUGCAACAUAUUUUCCAUUUCAAUUUAAGAAAAGUUUUACUUAGAGUUGUUAUCAAGAUAAUACUCCACAGACUUGUUAAACAAUUAUGGCAAAACAAUUUGAGUAGCAGAAGUGUAUCCAGGAUACUGCAAAACAAAUUAUAUGGCUUUCCUAUUGAGAAUAUAUUAAUAGGUUUAGAAGUGGUAAGCUCUAGAUAUAUUGAGGCAAAAAGAAAAAAAUCAUGAUAAUGAUAUUCAUCCUCACGUACUUUAUUAUUUCAUUUUGUAGAGAUCAAAAUGAAUACAUAUAACUAAGCUUUAUUUUAUGAGUAUUUCUUACUUUACCAAUUGAUAACUGUCAAAAUUAUGUAAUUCAAUAUUUAGUUAGUCUAUAAGCUUUCUGGUAGUUUUUUCAUAGGAAAUUCAGUACUGAUAUGCUCUUGGUCCAUUUAAUCCAGAUUUUAUCAUAUAAAGGUAAAAAAAUCAGAGAAUAUAUGAAAAACAAUACUUAUUUGAUAAAUUGUCUUUCUCACCAGUAGAACAAAAUGCAUUUGAUUCAUAAACAUGGAAAGGAAUACAGAUAUAAGCAAAUAUGCAUACACACAUAUCCAUAGUUACAUAACUAGAUAGAAAUGAUUAUAUAUCUCGCAAUUUUUAAGUGAUGAGAAAAGCCCUAUUAUAAUGUGCCCAACAGUUGAGAUUGUUGUUUCGCUUUUUCUACUGUGAAAUAAAAGACAGAUAUUUUUCAGCAUAAUACAACUCUUCCAUUUACUUAACAAUUUUCAGUUAUUAGAAGCAGAUGGUGUUUUGGUGGUAAACACAAUUAAUUUACAUUUUAGAGAAUUUACUUAAUUAGAAUUGGACUCCAUGUCUCGCAUACAUUGGAUUUCAUCAUUAUACAUACUGUUUAUAAUUCUGCCGGCUGUCAUAAAUGUACACUUAUUUUUUCAAUUCAUAAAAAUAUAACUUCUAAAAAGGAGAUAAUCUAUCCAUUUUCCUGCAUAACCUGAAAAUAAAAUACAUUGUUUCAAAAUUUCAUUUUAAAAGAUGUUUGAGCCAUCAAUUUAUCUUGUUUUAAAGUGCGUGAAGAAGUCAAAGUAUGUACAACUUUAAGUACAUAUCUCCAUUUUAUAUCUCUUCAAUGUUAAUGUAUUUUUUUAGUUCUAAAAUGUUAACUGAAGUAUUUCAUACUUUAUAGAUCUAUAAAAAUACUAUUGAUGACAAAAACAUGCUUAUUGAACCAUGAAAACAUUUCCAAUUUAUUCAGUUUAUUUCCCCAAAAUGUUACCAAAGUAUAUUUAUAUAGUCUGAUGAUAAGUAAACACUCUACCCAAUUUCAGAUGUUGGUUCUGUAAAAUGUUAUUCAUUGAAAUGACUGAUGUUUUACACUUUUUUUUCUUUUUUGAGACUGAGUCUCACUCUGUUGCCCUGGCUGGAGUGCAGUGGCAUGAUCUCAGCUUACUGCAACCUCCGCCUCCUGGAUACAAGUGAUUUCUCCUGCCUCAGUCUCCCAAGUAGCUGGGAUUACAGGAGUGCAACACCACGCCCAGUUAAUUUUUGUGUUUUUAGUAGAGACGGGGUUUCACCAUGUUGGCCAGGAGGGUCUGAAACUCCUGACUUUAGGUGAUCCGCCUGCCUCGACCUCCCAAAGUGCUGGGAUUACAGGUGUGAGCCACCACGCCCAACCGAUAUUUCACACUUCGGAUGUGCAUGCAUGUAUGUGCAUGCUCAUGCAUGUGUCUCCUCCCAAUUACAUUUGGUAUUCUAAUUUUAUAUUGCUGGAUUAAAUAUAUCAUAGAGGUAUUAAUUCAAGUUAUUUAAAUUUUAAUAUUUAUGAAAAAUGCUCCUUCUUACUAUUUCAGACUUUAUUUUACUUGUGCCAUAGAUUUAUUUUAUAACUUUCUCAGGGUUAUAAGAUCCCUUUUACCUGUCAUGCAACAUCAGCAAAGGGUUAUUUUAAUACUUUGAGCAUAUUAUUAUUUUGCUUCAUGGAAAUGCAAUUAAUAGUUUUUCUUGAAUAAUUUCCUUUAAUAAUGAUCUCUACUUAGCAAAACAGGCUAUGGUUAAGAGUAUGUCCCUAAAAGUAAUUUUUAAGAGGGAUGAUCUUGUUUUGUUGCCCAGGCUGGAAUUGAACUCCUGGGCUCAAGCAAUCCUCCCACCUCAGCACCCCAAGUAGUUGGGACUACAAGCAAUUGUCACUGUGCCCCAAAGAGUUAUGUAUUUUUAAUCUAAUUAGAAUAAAAUUCUAAAGAAUAUUUUGAAUUUGUUUAAAACAGCUUAAACUUAAUAUGUUCUUAGAAACUGUUCUUAACAAGUUUGGGGGCUUAGGAUUAGAUUUGAUUAUUACUUAUCUUACAUCUAAAAAAUUAAUUCUACAUCAUCAUUAAAAAUGAUGUCCAGAUAUUACGAAUGAUAAUUUAGGGUCCAAAAGUAAUAGUUAAGUGGUCUGACAACUUCCCUUAAUAGUAAGAUGUUAUAAUCAAUAGGCUUAUAUUUUACAUCUU
This 2534-nucleotide long non-coding RNA is filed under the name Homo sapiens (human). RNAcentral's name for it is "HSALNT0271710". The record is from RNAcentral. Lineage: Eukaryota; Metazoa; Chordata; Mammalia; Primates; Hominidae.